Molecule: ribosomal RNA, 158 nt
Filed under: Pyricularia oryzae
Lineage: Eukaryota; Fungi; Ascomycota; Sordariomycetes; Magnaporthales; Pyriculariaceae
Description: 5.8S ribosomal RNA
Rfam family: 5.8S ribosomal RNA
About the family: 5.8S ribosomal RNA (5.8S rRNA) is a component of the large subunit of the eukaryotic ribosome.
Source: RNAcentral
ACUUUCAACAACGGAUCUCUUGGUUCUGGCAUCGAUGAAGAACGCAGCGAAAUGCGAUAAGUAAUGUGAAUUGCAGAAUACAGUGAAUCAUCGAAUCUUUGAACGCACAUUGCGCCCGCCGGUAUUCCGGCGGGCAUGCCUGUUCGAGCGUCAUUUCA